Molecule: ribosomal RNA, 119 nt
Filed under: Gossypium hirsutum (cotton)
Lineage: Eukaryota; Viridiplantae; Streptophyta; Magnoliopsida; Malvales; Malvaceae
Source: RNAcentral
GGGUGUGACAAUACCACCAGUAAUGCAUAAGAUCCCAUCAGAACUCUGUAGUUUAGCGUGCUUGCGGGAUAGUAGUACUAUGAAGGGUGACCUUCUGGGAAGUCCUCGUUUUGCAUCUU